GACGAACGCUGGCGGCGUGCUUAACACAUGCAAGUCGAACGAAAAGAGGGAAAGAGCUUGCUCUUUCCGGAAUUGAGUGGCAAACGGGUGAGUAACACGUAAACAACCUGCCUUCAGGAUGGGGACAACAGACGGAAACGACUGCUAAUACCGAAUAAGUUCCAAGGGCCGCAUGGCCCAUGGAAGAAAAGGUGGCCUCUACCUGUAAGCUAUCGCCUGAAGAGGGGUUUGCGUCUGAUUAGCUGGUUGGAGGGGUAACGGCCCACCAAGGCGACGAUCAGUAGCCGGUCUGAGAGGAUGAACGGCCACACUGGAACUGAGACACGGUCCAGACUCCUACGGGAGGCAGCAGUGGGGAAUCUUCCGCAAUGGGCGAAAGCCUGACGGAGCAACGCCGCGUGAGUGAUGACGGCCUUCGGGUUGUAAAACUCUGUGAUCCUGGACGAAAAGGCAGAGUGCGAAGAACAAACUGCAUUGACGGUACCGGAAAAGCAAGCCACGGCUAACUACGUG
This 513-nucleotide ribosomal RNA is filed under the name uncultured bacterium. RNAcentral's name for it is "partial 16S ribosomal RNA". It matches the Rfam family "Bacterial small subunit ribosomal RNA", at positions 28 to 507 of the family's 1533-position model. The record is from RNAcentral.